UGUGCCAGCAGCCGCGGUAAUACAGAGGGUGCAAGCGUUAAUCGGAUUUACUGGGCGUAAAGCGUGCGUAGGCGGCUAUUUAAGUCGGAUGUGAAGCCCUGGGCUCAACCUGGGAACUGCAUUCGAUACUGGGUAGCUAGAGAUCGGUAGAGGGCGGCGGAAUUCCGGGUGUAGCGGUGAAAUGCGUAGAUAUCCGGAGGAACACCGAUGGCGAAGGCAACCGCCUGGGCCUGAUCUGACGCUGAGGCACGAAAGCGUGGGGAGCAAACAGGAUUA
Molecule: ribosomal RNA, 276 nt
Filed under: uncultured Lysobacterales bacterium
Lineage: Bacteria; Pseudomonadati; Pseudomonadota; Gammaproteobacteria; Lysobacterales
Description: uncultured Xanthomonadales bacterium partial 16S ribosomal RNA
Rfam family: Bacterial small subunit ribosomal RNA
Source: RNAcentral